GGCCUACCAUGGUGGUAACGGGUAACGGGGUGUUAGGGCACGACACCGGAGAGGGAGCCUGAGAAACGGCUACCACAUCCAAGGAUGGCAGCAGGCGCGCAAAUUACCCAAUCCCGACACGGGGAGGUAGUGACAAUAAAUAACAAUACGGGGUUCUUCGAAUCUCGUAAUUGGAAUGAGUACAAUUUAAAUCUCUUAACGAGGAACAAUUGGAGGGCAAGUCUGGUGCCAGCAGCCGCGGUAAUUCCAGCUCCAAUAGCGUAUAUUAAAGUUGUUGCAGUUAAAAAGCUCGUAGUUGAAUUUCGGGGUUAGCAGGUCGGUCGUGCCAAUGGUAUGCACUGGCUCGCUGACUCCUCCUUCUUGUAGAACCGUAAUGCCAUUAAUUUGGUGUUGCGGGGAAACAGGACUGUUACUUUGAAAAAAUUAGAGUGUUUAAAGCAGGCCAACGCCUGAAUACAUUAGCAUGGAAUAAUGAAAUAGGACGUUCGAACCUAUUUUGUUGGUUUCUAGGAUUGACGUAAUGAUUAAUAGGGAUAGUUGGGGGCAUUAGUAUUCAAUUGUCAGAGGUGAAAUUCUUGGAUUUAUUGAAGACUGACUACUGCGAAAGCAUUUGCCAAGGAUGUUUUCAUUAAUCAAGAACGAAAGUUAGGGGAUCGAAGACGAUCAGAUACCGUCGUAGUCUUAACCAUAAACUAUGCCGACUAGGGAUCGGAUGAUGUUAAUUUUUUAAUGACUCAUUCGGCGCCUUACG
Molecule: ribosomal RNA, 751 nt
Filed under: uncultured Glomeraceae
Lineage: Eukaryota; Fungi; Glomeromycota; Glomeromycetes; Glomerales; Glomeraceae
Description: SSU rRNA
Rfam family: Eukaryotic small subunit ribosomal RNA
Source: RNAcentral